This 254-nucleotide ribosomal RNA is filed under the name uncultured bacterium. Its description in RNAcentral is "partial 16S ribosomal RNA". It matches the Rfam family "Bacterial small subunit ribosomal RNA", at positions 524 to 776 of the family's 1533-position model. The record is from RNAcentral.
UACAGAGGUGGCGAGCGUUGUUCGGAUUGAUUGGGUGUAAAGGGUGCGUAGGCGGUUUGGUAAGUUGGGUGUGAAAUCCUAUGGCUUAACCAUAGAACUGCAUUCAAAACUACCAGACUAGAGUGCGAGAGAGGUGAAGGGAAUUCCCGGUGUAAGGGUGAAAUCUGUAGAGAUCGGGAGGAACACCAGUAGCGAAGGCGCUUCACUGGCUCGCAACUGACGCUGAUUGCACGAAAGCGUGGGGAGCAAACGGG